AGCUCCAAUAGCGUAUAUUAAAGUUGUUGCAGUUAAAAAGCUCGUAGUUGAAUUUCGGGGUUAGUAGGUUGGUCAUGCCUCCGGUAUGUACUGAUCUCACUGAUUCCUCCUUCCUUAUGAACCGUAAUGCCAUUAAUUUGGUGUUGCGGGGAAUUUGGACUGUUACUUUGAAAAAAUUAGAGUGUUUAAAGCAGGCUAACGCUUGAAUACAUUAGCAUGGAAUAAUGAAAUAGGACGUUCGAUCUUAUUUUGUUGGUUUCUAGGAUUGACGUAAUGAUUAAUAGGGAUAGUUGGGGGCAUUAGUAUUCAAUUGUCAGAGGUGAAAUUCUUGGAUUUAUUGAAGACUAACUACUGCGAAAGCAUUUGCCAAGGAUGUUUUCAUUAAUCAAGAACGAAAGUUAGGGGAUCGAAGACGAUCAGAUACCGUCGUAGUCUUAACCAUAAACUAUGCGACUAGGGAUCGG
This 464-nucleotide ribosomal RNA is filed under the name uncultured Glomus. RNAcentral describes it as "SSU rRNA". It matches the Rfam family "Eukaryotic small subunit ribosomal RNA", at positions 587 to 1056 of the family's 1831-position model. Lineage: Eukaryota; Fungi; Glomeromycota; Glomeromycetes; Glomerales; Glomeraceae. The record is from RNAcentral.